This 438-nucleotide long non-coding RNA is filed under the name Androctonus crassicauda. Lineage: Eukaryota; Metazoa; Arthropoda; Arachnida; Scorpiones; Buthidae. The record is from RNAcentral.
UGAAAAUUUGAGUGUAAUUUAAUAAAUGAAAAAAAAAUUAGUUUUCUCUACAAUUAUUCUUCUGCAACGAUAUUUUUUUUCCUAUUUAUCUGCAAUGUUAUCAGGUUAUCAGGCUGCCUUGUAUUCUGCUACUGAAGCCUUGCCUCCAAGCUCACCUCAUCAGACCUCAACCAGUCCACCUAUGUUACCUACUCCUCCCUUCCAAAGUUAUGCCACUGCCUCUUAUCAGGAAACUUAUGGUAAGAAUUUUUUAAAUUAAUGGACAGGAAAGCUUAUAGAAAAUGAACAAGUCUUUUUUUAUAAUUUGUUAAGAUAAAGAUGCAUUUUUAUACAUAAGAAUACAAUUUAUAUUUUUUCACAAAAUAUAUGAAUAAUUUAAGUUUAGAUUGUUUAAACUAAUUUAAAUUCUGCACUAUAUAAAUAUUAAUUAAUUUUUAA